Molecule: long non-coding RNA, 504 nt
Filed under: Marmota monax (woodchuck)
Lineage: Eukaryota; Metazoa; Chordata; Mammalia; Rodentia; Sciuridae
Source: RNAcentral
GAAGGCCAGGUGAGCCUCAGCAAGAUGUUAAGUCCUUGAGAUCAUAUGCAGAAUUGUGCAUAAACUUAUAUAUUUUCCUUUAAAAAAACUUAAAAUUUGGAAGUAAUUAUAGAUUUACAAGAAGUCCCAGGAGUAGUAGAGAGGCCUGUGUACCUUUCAACCAGUUCCCCCCAACAGUAACUUCUUAUGUAACUUAAAUACAAUAGCUAAAUCAGGAAAUUGACAUGAGUAUAAUCCAGGUGGUUUUUGGACUGUAUGAGUUUUACAUGAAUUCCUGUGUGCACAUGUAUGUGUAUGGUUCUAUGCAAUUUAAUUAUAUGUAUAGAUUCAUGUAACUCCCCCCACAAUCAAGAAUUUGCUGUCACCCCAAAGAUUUCUCAUGCUAUCCCUUUAUAGCCACCCAUCCCUAACUCCUAACAACCACUACCUAUUCUCAAUCUUUAUACUUUGAUCAUUUCAAGAUUGUUACUUAUAUGUGUUUUCUUGAAAGGAUCCAGAGCAGUC